UAAUAAUCAAAUAAAAUGAUCUGGAGGGCCGGAUAGAAUUACCUGGAGGGCCGGAUCCGGCCCCCGGGCCUUGACUUUGACUCAUGUGCUGUAAAGGAUGCAGCUGAAUGAUCUGGUGUCUCCAUUCUUGAAGGUCCAGCCUCCGGUCCUCCAGGCGCCGGUGGAGUGGAGGACGAGGUCGUCCAGAAGGUGUCAGAAGAGAGCCAGGGAGCCUCAGAGGAGAUGAGACCAUGAGGGGCCUCCAGCAAAGCAGCAGCGUCUGGCUCCUCCUCCUGCUGCUGCUGCUCCGCCCUUUGCUCCACAGGUCCUGUGGAGCGGAGAGGUCCAUCUGGGAGGAGUCAGAAGGUCAACACGACAGCAGCUGUCUGUCAAACUCCUGAUGGAGCCGGAGGGAGACCAGGAACCUCCGGCCAAACGGCGGCGUCCGGGAGCUGCUGCUCCGCCCACCUCCAGCUGACCUCCAGCAUGCAGUUCACCUCUGUGUGAACUUGCAUUCCUUGUUUGUUGUCUUAGUUUAAACUGAACAGUCUUUAUUUAUUAGAUUGUUCAAUGUUUUGUGUUUUACUGUUUAUUGAUAAGUUCCCUAAUAAUUAUUGUAUUUCUUGGAGGGAACUUUUAAAAUAUUUAUUGUUUUUCAGUUGUUAGAUUUGUGUUUAGAUGUGUUUAUAUUUUGAAUUUUACUGAAGCUAAAUGUUCUUUUUAGCUUUAACCUGAACAAUCUGCACAUUUAUUGUUUCUUUAUUUAUUGGUCAGUUUGUUCAGUGUUUCAUAUUUUAGAUUAGACUUUUAGAUUUCAUAGGUUUCCUUUUCAAGUUUUCCUUUUCUGAACCUGAAGAUCUUUGACGUGAUCUUUACAGAUUUUUUUUAAAGCAUGUUUUUAGAGAAGAAGCUGAAAACUCCACAGUGUUUCUUUCAAACAUUUGAAUUGAAAAAAUG
Long non-coding RNA from Oryzias melastigma (Indian medaka), 936 nucleotides. RefSeq lists it as uncharacterized. NCBI's taxonomy places the organism in Eukaryota, Metazoa, Chordata, Actinopteri, Beloniformes, Adrianichthyidae. The transcript is spliced from 3 exons. The record is from RefSeq and is a predicted model, not a curated record.